Molecule: long non-coding RNA, 479 nt
Organism: Lonchura striata (white-rumped munia)
Lineage: Eukaryota; Metazoa; Chordata; Aves; Passeriformes; Estrildidae
Source: RefSeq, a predicted model, not a curated record
CGGGCGGUGCUGGACGGGCGGAGGCGCGGCCGGAAUUCCAGAGUCUGGUUUGGGGUCCGGGAGCGUGAGAGGUGUUAGGUGUGAGCCCAUCUCUCCGUGGCAUUCUCCUCAGGGCUUGCUUCACUAAAUAUGCUGCAUAUGGCACGUUUUAGAUUUUCAGUGUUAAUAACCUAGAAGCUGUUGCUGUAAGACUGAAUUGCAGAAGUGGCCAAAAGCAUUGCACUAUACAUUGCAUUGAAGAGCAGUUGAAGCGAGCUUUGAAGCAAGCUGAUGAUGCAGAAAGAAGUCCAUCAGCCUUGCCCAAAUCUUCUGCAGCUCUACACAUCAAUUUUAGGAUUUAGAGCUUCUUGUAGCCUCAGUAUUACAGUGUAUAUAUGUAUGUAAUUUUGGUGGUUCUGUCUUGUCUGUCAUUUGAAAUACUGAUUGAGUUUUCAGGCUCUCUGCAAAUAAAUUGAACUUCUAUGCUCUAUAAACUCCAA